RNAcentral lists this ribosomal RNA (591 nucleotides) under uncultured bacterium. RNAcentral's name for it is "bacterial SSU rRNA". It matches the Rfam family "Bacterial small subunit ribosomal RNA", at positions 63 to 626 of the family's 1533-position model. The record is from RNAcentral.
CGUGCGAGAAACCUACCCUUCGGGGUAGGGAGUAAAGCGGCAGACGGGUGAGUAACACGUGGGUAACCUACCUCCGAGUGGGGGACAACCUGCCGAAAGGCGGGCUAAUACCCCAUAAGCUCACGACCACCACGGUGGUUGUGAGAAAAGGUGGCCUCUGCAUGCAAGCUGCCGCUCGGAGAUGGGCCCGCGGCCCAUCAGCUAGUUGGUGGGGUAAUGGCCCACCAAGGCUACGACGGGUAGCCGGCCUGAGAGGGUGGUCGGCCGCACUGGCACUGAGACACGGGCCAGACUCCUACGGGAGGCAGCAGUGGGGAAUAUUGGGCAAUGGGCGCAAGCCUGACCCAGUGACGCCGCGUGGGGGAUGAAGGCCUUCGGGUCGUAAACCCCUGUCAGGAGGGAAGAAUGUCUGAUGGGUUAAGAGCCCAUUGGACUGACGGUACCUCCAGAGGAAGCCACGGCUAACUCCGUGCCAGCAGCCGCGGUAAUACGGAGGUGGCAAGCGUUACUCGGAAUCACUGGGCGUAAAGCGCGCGUAGGCGGGAAGGUAAGUCGGCCGUGUAAGCCCGGGGCUCAACCCCGGAACUGCGG